AAGUUUGAGGAUCUAAACGGUCGAUUUAUGAGUUUAGGGACCGGAAUGAUAUGAUGGUACAAGUUAAGGACCGAUGGUGGACUUUACUCUUCUAUCUAUCUACAACUAAACAAAGUUCAGAGUAAUCAUCUACCCGGUGACACAAAAAAAUACUAUCCGAUCACAAAGCUUGCACUACCCAGUCACAAAAACUGCCAAAUACGUAUACUCAAGUCCAUGCCAGAUACGAGUCCACAAACUUAUACAAAGUCCAUAUCCAAGCCAAUUCUGAGUUCGCGUCAGGGUGUAAAAUCCUUUUGAUCCACGCCUCUAAAAUCCUCGCUUGCUUGCUUGCUUUCUCCUCCACACGUGAACUCCAACAUGCGUGGAACGCCCUUGGUCCUGUUACAACUCUUAAGCAACAAGUGUCAACUAAUUUUGAUUAAUCUAUCUUAUCUUUCUUUCUACAUCUAAAAAAACUUGGCCGAAAAAGAGAAGG
Molecule: long non-coding RNA, 478 nt
Filed under: Sorghum bicolor (sorghum)
Lineage: Eukaryota; Viridiplantae; Streptophyta; Magnoliopsida; Poales; Poaceae
Description: long non-coding RNA (SBIC_LNC002400)
Source: RNAcentral